CGCCGAUUUAUACUUUAGUAAGCCUCCGCAAUUAUUAUGACAAAACUGAAACUUACGUACGAGGUCUAGAGUCACUCGGACAGACUACAGACACUUAUGGUUCACUACUGGUACCCGUUAUUCUGAACAAGUUGCCCGCAGAAAUACGCCAAAACCUAGCAAGACAACACGGACCGUCAAGUUGGAAUUUGAAAGAUUUGAGGAAGAGUAUACUUAACGAAAUUCAGAUCAUGGAGGCGGGAAAAAAUACAGGUACAUAUCUCGAGUCUUCAGAAAGUCACUUCACAACCGCAUCUACAUGUACAUUUCAUACAGGAAUAGAAUCACCGCGAAUACACACAGCACACAACGCGAAGAGCCAACCCCGGAAUAUUACGGAGAGACCAUGUGUUUUUUGUAAAGAGAUACAUGCGCCAACAAACUGUACCAAUAUUAGUGAUAGCACAGCCCGAAUGUCUAUCGUAAUUCGUGAUAAUUUAUGUUUUAACUGUUUAGGAAAUCAUCAUGCUAAUGAGUGUCAAUCGAAACGAACGUGUCGACACUGCAACCAGAGACAUCAUUCCAGCUUAUGUAGUGCGAGUAAUAAUGUUAACAGCGAAGGUUUAGCGUUCAUUACAAGCAAUACAAAUAAACAGAUUCAAUCUACACCCGUCAAUCUUAUAAAUGACACUGAAAACCAGGAAGAUACUAAAGUUUUGCAUUCAUCGACACAGAUGCGUACAAAUGUGCUACUGAAAACGGCGGUAGCUCCUGUAUGGUCAGGUAAUAUAUCUAUGGAUACGAAUGUUUUAUUUGAUGAGGGUGCACAAAGAUCUUUUUUAACAGAGCAUCUAGCGAAGAAAUUGAAUUUGAAAACUGAAGGAAUUGAAGUUGUACACCUAUCGGCAUUUGGAGAGGACAACACGAGCACGAGAGAACUACGCACAACCACCGUAUUUAUCGAAACCGAAAAUAGUCGUAAAAUUCCGAUUGAAGUCCUUAUUGUUCCUACCAUAGCAGUUCCAAUACAUAAUCAUAUGCGGUACGUUAACCGAAAUAUGGAUUAUCUGAAAGGAUUAAGACUCGCUCAUCCAGUUACCAAAGACGAUUAUUUUGAGAUAUCAUUACUUAUUGGUGCCGACCACUAUUGGGACUUUAUCGAAGACAAAGUAAUACGAGGAGAUGGACCGAUCGCGAUGAAGUCAAAGCUUGGAUACUUACUAUCAGGACCCUUACAGCCGGGUAGGGUACUUUCGUCUACGACAUCCAGCAUCUUAAACGUACUGGUUUCGAAUAAAUCAGAGGAAUUUGGCUUAGAAGAAAUUAUAAAGGAACAGACACG
This 1321-nucleotide long non-coding RNA is filed under the name Mytilus galloprovincialis (Mediterranean mussel). The record is from RNAcentral. Lineage: Eukaryota; Metazoa; Mollusca; Bivalvia; Mytilida; Mytilidae.